RNAcentral lists this ribosomal RNA (928 nucleotides) under uncultured bacterium. RNAcentral describes it as "bacterial SSU rRNA". It matches the Rfam family "Bacterial small subunit ribosomal RNA", at positions 8 to 918 of the family's 1533-position model. The record is from RNAcentral.
AGAGUUUGAUCAUGGCUCAGAAUCAACGCUGGCGGCGUGCCUAACACAUGCAAGUCGAACGCGGUUAUUCAGCAAUGGAUAACUGAGUGGCGAACGGGUGAGUAACACGUGGGUGACCUACCUUCGAGUGGGGGAUAACGUCCCGAAAGGGACGCUAAUACCGCAUAACAUCCUGUCCUUGAACGGACGGAGAUCAAAGCCGGGGAUCGCAAGACCUGGCGCUUGAUGAGGGGCCCGCGUCCGAUUAGCUAGUUGGUGAGGUAAUGGCUCACCAAGGCAACGAUCGGUAGCCGGCCUGAGAGGGCGGACGGCCACACUGGGACUGAGACACGGCCCAGACUCCUACGGGAGGCAGCAGUGGGGAAUUGUUCGCAAUGGGCGCAAGCCUGACGACGCAACGCCGCGUGGAGGAUGAAGGUCUUCGGAUUGUAAACUCCUGUUGCCCGGGACGAAAAGCUCAGACCUAAUACGUCGGAGUCUGACGGUACCGGGUGAGGAAGCCCCGGCUAACUCUGUGCCAGCAGCCGCGGUAAUACAGAGGGGGCAAGCGUUGUUCGGAAUUACUGGGCGUAAAGGGCGCGUAGGCGGCCUGCUAAGUCGAACGUGAAAUCCCUGGGCUCAACCCAGGAACUGCGUCCGAUACUGGUUGGCUUGAAUUCGGGAGAGGGAUGUGGAAUUCCAGGUGUAGCGGUGAAAUGCGUAGAUAUCUGGAGGAACACCGGUGGCGAAGGCGGCAUCCUGGACCGAUAUUGACGCUGAUGCGCGAAAGCCAGGGGAGCAAACGGGAUUAGAUACCCCGGUAGUCCUGGCCCUAAACGAUGAAUGCUUGGUGUGGCGGGUAUCGAUCCCUGCCGUGCCGAAGCUAACGCAUUAAGCAUUCCGCCUGGGGAGUACGGUCGCAAGGCUGAAACUCAAAGAAUUGACGGGG